UCUGCUAAAUACAUCAACUCUCUAUCUUUCAAUCCUCAUCUGAAAAAUGAGAAUAAUAAAUCCUUACUUCACAGGAUACAGUGACAAUGAAAGUAAAGGCAUGACAAGAACUUGGGUGAGAGCUUGUACAUGGAAACGUGCCAAGACAGUGUCAAACAUGCAAGGAUUUGGGGUUGGGCGGAGGAUGACUGUGCUGGAGAAAAUGGCGGUGGAAACUGGGAAAGCAGAAGGAGCCAUCCUCAGUGACUCAUGCCUGAUCCCAAGGAAGGAGAGAAGCUUGGGUUGAAGAAUCCUGGACUACAAGGAAGGAAAAUGGAGGUUUGAGCACAGUUGACUUAGGGUAACAGAAACUGUGGAUAAGGGAAGGAUACUGAACCUACACAAGAUGGUCUUUGGGCUUUCCUCCUACAAACACCUAGUAAGGACCUACUCCUGGGCUAUUUCUGCUCAUUUUCUUGCUGGAGCUACAACUGCCUGGAAUGGGAAAGAAGGUAAAUGGGGACAUGCAACUUCUUAGUGACUCUAGAUUCAGUCACCCCUUACUUUGCAUUUACCCUCUAUCUCCUCACACCAUAUCAGAUCUUAAACAUGUGGUGGGCAGAGGUGGAACAAUAAAAUCAUUUCUACCCAGCAAUGCCUUCAGAAUACCUGUGGAUCAAAAAGUAAAACCAGAGGCGUGAAGCCAGCAGAAAGAAUGAAAUAAAAAAUUUAAUGCUUUCCUUUCAUUUUGUAUGUAUCCUUAAGAGGCCCAGAAUUAAAUUGCUUUUUAUGAAAUCUUCUUAGUAAGUAAAUUUGUCUAAGAGCAGAUAAGCUUAGCAACUGUCACAUAUUUUAGAGAGUCAAA
Chinchilla lanigera (long-tailed chinchilla) is the source of this 844-nucleotide long non-coding RNA. RefSeq lists it as uncharacterized. NCBI's taxonomy places the organism in Eukaryota, Metazoa, Chordata, Mammalia, Rodentia, Chinchillidae. The transcript has 4 exons. The record is from RefSeq and is a predicted model, not a curated record.